Molecule: ribosomal RNA, 468 nt
Filed under: uncultured bacterium
Lineage: Bacteria
Description: partial 16S ribosomal RNA
Rfam family: Bacterial small subunit ribosomal RNA
Source: RNAcentral
GACGAACGCUGGCGGCGUGCUUAACACAUGCAAGUCGAACGGAAAGGCCCUGCUUUUGUGGGGUGCUCGAGUGGCGAACGGGUGAGUAACACGUGAGUAACCUGCCCUUGACUUUGGGAUAACUUCAGGAAACUGGGGCUAAUACCGGAUAGGAGCUCCUGCUGCAUGGUGGGGGUUGGAAAGUUUCGGCGGUUGGGGAUGGACUCGCGGCUUAUCAGCUUGUUGGUGGGGUAGUGGCUUACCAAGGCUUUGACGGGUAGCCGGCCUGAGAGGGUGACCGGCCACAUUGGGACUGAGAUACGGCCCCGACUCCUACGGGAGGCAGCAGUGGGGAAUAUUGCACAAUGGGCGGAAGCCUGAUGCAGCAAAGCCGCGUGCGGGAUGACGGCCUUCGGGUUGUAAACCGCUUUCGCCUGUGACGAAGCGUGAGUGACGGUAAUGGGUAAAGAAGCACCGGCUAACUACGUG